AGUGAACGCUGGCGGUAGGCCUAACACAUGCAAGUCGAACGGCAGCACAGUAAGAGCUUGCUCUUACGGGUGGCGAGUGGCGGACGGGUGAGGAAUACAUCGGAAUCUACUUUUUCGUGGGGGAUAACGUAGGGAAACUUACGCUAAUACCGCAUACGACCUACGGGUGAAAGCAGGGGAUCUUCGGACCUUGCGCGAUUGAAUGAGCCGAUGUCGGAUUAGCUAGUUGGCGGGGUAAAGGCCCACCAAGGCGACGAUCCGUAGCUGGUCUGAGAGGAUGAUCAGCCACACUGGAACUGAGACACGGUCCAGACUCCUACGGGAGGCAGCAGUGGGGAAUAUUGGACAAUGGGCGCAAGCCUGAUCCAGCCAUACCGCGUGGGUGAAGAAGGCCUUCGGGUUGUAAAGCCCUUUUGUUGGGAAAGAAAAGCAGCAGGUUAAUACCCCGCUGUUCGGACGGUACCCAAAGAAUAAGCGCCGGCUAACUUCGU
Molecule: ribosomal RNA, 491 nt
Filed under: uncultured bacterium
Lineage: Bacteria
Description: partial 16S ribosomal RNA
Rfam family: Bacterial small subunit ribosomal RNA
Source: RNAcentral